This 614-nucleotide ribosomal RNA is filed under the name uncultured marine bacterium. RNAcentral's name for it is "bacterial SSU rRNA". It matches the Rfam family "Bacterial small subunit ribosomal RNA", at positions 879 to 1501 of the family's 1533-position model. The record is from RNAcentral.
AGUACGACCGCAAGGUUAAAACUCAAAUGAAUUGACGGGGACCCGCACAAGUAGUGGAGCAUGUGGUUUAAUUCGAAGAUACGCGCAGAACCUUACCAACACUUGACAUGUUCGUCGCGACUCUAAGAGAUUAGAGUUUUCGGUUCGGCCGGACGAAACACAGGUGCUGCAUGGCUGUCGUCAGCUCGUGUCGUGAGAUGUUGGGUUAAGUCCCGCAACGAGCGCAACCCUCACUUUUAGUUGCCAUCAUUAAGUUGGGCACUCUGAAAGAACUGCCAGUGAUAAGCUGGAGGAAGGUGGGGAUGACGUCAAGUCCUCAUGGCCCUUACGUGUUGGGCUACACACGUGCUACAAUGGUAUCUACAACAGGAAGCAAAACGGCAACGUUAAGCAAAUCCCGAAAAGAUACCUCAGUUCGGAUUGCACUCUGCAACUCGAGUGCAUGAAGCUGGAAUUACUAGUAAUCGUGGAUCAGCGUGCCACGGUGAAUGCGUUCCCGGGUCUUGUACACACCGCCCGUCACACCAUGGGAGUUGGUUCUACCUUAAGGCAAGGUUUUAAACCCUUGACCACGGUAUAGUCAGCGACUGGGGUGAAGUCGUAACAAGGUAACC